This 242-nucleotide ribosomal RNA is filed under the name Listeria monocytogenes. RNAcentral's name for it is "partial 16S ribosomal RNA". It matches the Rfam family "Bacterial small subunit ribosomal RNA", at positions 1 to 228 of the family's 1533-position model. The record is from RNAcentral. Lineage: Bacteria; Bacillati; Bacillota; Bacilli; Caryophanales; Listeriaceae.
UAUUUUAAAGAGAGUUUGAUCCUGGCUCAGGACGAACGCUGGCGGCGUGCCUAAUACAUGCAAGUCGAACGAACGGAGGAAGAGCUUGCUCUUCCAAAGUUAGUGGCGGACGGGGGAGUAACACGUGGGCAACCUGCCUGUAAGUUGGGGAUAACUCCGGGAAACCGGGGCUAAUACCGAAUGAUAAAGGGUGGCGCAUGCCACGCUUUUGAAAGAUGGUUUCGGCUAUCGCUUACAGAUGG